UCAUGUAUUUCUCUCAUCUCAGCCUCCCAGCUGGCUGGGAUUACAGGCACAAGCCACCAUGCCUGGUCCUAGUGGCUUUAAUUGUCCACUAAAAUCAGUUUAUUUACCAAAGAUUUACCUAAGUCAUGUGAACUUUAAAAAAAUGUGAGUUAACUACUAUUUUUCUGAUAAAUUACUUAAGUGCUUAAUUUUUUUCUUUAAGUCAGUUAAAUAGAGCUCUUUCAUACAUUUUGGUAGAAAAUAUUACAUACAUAUAUAGACACAAGAACAUACAGACAACACAAAAAGAUAUUUUCCCUUUUCCCUUUAAAAUUUUAGUCAUGAUACAUUAAAACAGUAAUAUACUGUGCCAUUUAGAAUGUUUAUUUUUGCUCUUUGAAAGUGUUCAGAAACAAGCAGGGAAAACAAAAGAGCCAAAUUAUUUACAGUUGCAUGUAACCAAAUUGACAUGAAACCAAAUGAAGCGUGCUCACAAAAAUUUUAAGCCAGGCUUGCAGAGCAAACAAAAUAUAAAACCGUGUUUGCAGAAAAACCAAAGCAAAUUCAGUAGAAAAUACAUGCCUCACAGAACGUAAGUUCUGUGGGAACCAGAGUACUCUCCAAAAGAACACUUGGCCUUAUACCAGAAGAGGCUUUCCAGAAAAGACAAAAAGUCUUUUGUAGUCCCACAAGGGUUGCAAGGUCCUUAAUUUAAGGUGGCCUUAUAGCCAAAUCCAGAUCCUGAAUAAAGUCAAAAGAACUUACCAAACGAAGGACGUCUGAGAAUCUAAGCAGAGAUUCACCAGAGCAGAGAAGGAAGGCCAUAGAAGCAGAGGCCACAAAAGGGGUCAAUGUUGGUACCUCACUAGAUUCCAGGGGAUGCUGGCCUGUUUGAGGUCAGCUGACUUCUUGACACAAACUUUAUGUCAACCUAAAUAGCAGACACAGAGAGAAGAUGUCUAAAAGAAAAUUGUAUUUAUUCAGGAAUGAGUAUUGCAAUGGGAAUAUAGUGGGUGUAUUCAGGGAGGUAAAGAAAGACAAGGGCUUUUAAAGAAGUGAGGAGGGUUACAUGAGUUUUUUGAAACAAUUAUCUUUGGCUACAAGGAUCACUAACAAAGGUGGUAGUAGUUCAAGGUUGGACAGCCAGUUGCUGGGCAGCUGUCUUAACCAAAGUAUUUUUGUAUGUGUAAGGUUGUGGUGGCCUUUGUGCAAGGUUGUUGUGAUUUUUGCAGUCUUUGUGAUCGUUCCUCUUAUCAGGUAUAUGUGCAUGAGAACCUUCUUUUCAUCACCUUCCCUGGCUCCAUUUGUCCUGCUACGGUGACACCAGUCUUUUAGUCCAUACAUUUGACUUCAUGAGGAGUUUGCUAUAAUCAAUUGAAUGAAGAAGAAACAUGUGGACCUGCUUUAUAGAAGGAAUGAUGCCAGGGGGAUGAAUAGUUUUGCUGGAUGGUCAUGGACUUCAAAGAAGCAUGAUUGAUAAUUGGUUGACAAGGCAAAUUGACAAUGAGGUAUGUGAGUGGACUACUUUUAAUGAGCAGAAUAUAAAAUUACUUGCGGCCUAUUUAAUUGUCAAUAAUCAGCAACCUCACCAGAAGAUGAGCUUAAUAAUCAGGUGAUCAAGAUGGUACAUUCUGUGAAUAUUCUUCAAGAUUUUUCUCUAGUCAACCAUGUCCAUUCCCAGUGGGUGCAUGAACAGUGUAGUCAUGGUGGAAGAAAUGGAGCUUAUUAGUUCAGUACUAUGAAAUUCCAUUUACUAAAUCCAAUCUGGCUACAACCACAUUUAUAUGGCCAAGCUAUCAAAAGUAUGGACUAACACUGGACCUCAGAUAGGCACUGUUCUUCAAAGGGGACUACCAACCUCCUGCUGGAAUUUGAUUACACCGGACCACUUUGAUCAUGGAGGAGACAGCACUUUGUUUUCAGUGGAAAAGACAAUUACUCUAGAUAUGAAUUUGCCUUUCCUAUUCCAAUGUUUCUGAUAAAAGCAUCACAUGUGGACUUUACAAAAUGUUUUAUUUUCUGCCAUGGAAUUCCACCCAGCAUUUCUUGUGACCAGGGCAGUCAUUUUUCAAAAAAUGAAUUGUAUCCAUUGGGCUCAUGUUGAUAGAAUUCACUAAACUUACCAUGAUUCCUGUUAACAGUUCCAUUUCAGUAGUGGGACAUGCCUCAAUUCUCAGAAGUCCUACCAUCUCUGAUUUGUCUUCCCAUGUUUGUUUACCUAAUUCCUACUUUAAAAUGUCCUUGUCCCUAAAAUCCUAGUGAUUCUGCUUCUCUGAUUGAACCCUGACUGAUAUUGAACCAUUUCUGCUCCUUUUCAGACACUACCCCUCUCUCUCAACUAUAAUCACUUUCCUAACUUCUAUCACCAUUGACUACUUUUCCUUUUAUCUUUAUAUAUAUGAAACCAUAUUGUAUAUAUCCUUUUGUGUCUCUGUUUUGCCCAACAUUAUGUUUGUGAGAUUGAACUAUGCUGCUGUUUUAUAGCAAUUGUUUACUUAUUUUGUUACUGUAGAGCAAGUGUAGGCACACUACAUCCCAUGGGUGAAAUCUUGUAUAUAUUUCGGGGUGCACAUGUGUGUGUGUUUCUGCUUGCUAGAAGUGGAAUUUCUGUGUCAUGGAGAAUACAUAAAUUUAACUCUAGCAGAUACUGUGAAACAUUUUCCAAAGUGAUUGUACCAAUUUACACUCUUACAAGGACCGUGGUAGAGUUCCAUCUGCUCCACGUGCUUGCCAAUGUUUGGUGUUGUCAGACUUAAAUUAUUUUUAAAUUAUUUUUUAAAUUCACCAUUCUAAUUUUUUAAAAGAAGUAGAGUAUAAUGCUGGUUACCAGGGGCUGGAGUGGAGGGGUUGGGACAUAUUGGUCAAAAGAUAUAACAUGUCAGUUAUACACGAGUAAUUUUUAAAAAAUCAGUGAUUCUGGUAUGGCAAUAGAGUUGUCUCAUUGAGGGUUUAAUUUAUACUGCUGUAAUGACUAAUGAAGUUGAGCAAACAGAGCAUGUAUCUGAAGCCUUGUACAUUUGUAUAUUCUUCAUAUAGUGCUUACUCAAGUGAUUUGUUGAUUUGUCUAUUUGGUUGUCAGUCUUAUUCUUGUAUUUAUAGGAUUUCUUUAUAUUCUGCUUACAAGCCUUUUGACAUAUGUGUGUAUUGUGAUUAUCUUUUCAACUGUGGCCAGCAUUUUCACUUUCCUUAUGGUACAUUUGAUAAACAACCAUUCUCAUUUUAAGUUUUUUAAUUUUACUUUUCAGUUGGUACUUUAAAAAAUCGUUGCCAACAUUAGAGAAGGUCACAAAGAUAUUUUAGUAGCUAUUUAAAAAAAUCUUUUAAUUUUAAGAUCUAUAUUCCAUAUCAUAUUGAUAUUUACAUAUGGGAUGUGCUAAAGGUCAAGAUUAAUUAUUUUUCUAUGUGAAGAAUAUACAAUAUCCUCACUUCUUAAGAGAUUUCUCCAUUUUAUUAUCUUUGUCAAAUAUCAAAUGACUAGAUAUAUGUAAAUCUGUUUCUGAACUUUCUAUUAUCUUCCAUUAGUCUAUUCAUAUUUGCAUAUAUAGCACACUUUUAAUUACUGCAAAUACAUAAAAUGUCUUGAUGUCUUAUCGCAUAAACCCACCUCUUUCUAUUUUCUUUUGAUGUUUUGGUUAUUCUUGACUGUUGCUUUUGUUUACAGAUUUUAGACUCAGCUUGCCAGUUUUCACCAAAAAACUGCUGAGAAUUUUAUUAAAUAUAUAGAUUAUUCAAAGGAGCACUGAUAGCUUUACAACAUUGAAUUGUCCAGUAUCUGAAUAGCACCACAUAUUUUAAAUUUUCAUUGAAGUAUAAAUAUAUGUAGAAAAAUGUA
Molecule: long non-coding RNA, 3811 nt
Filed under: Homo sapiens (human)
Lineage: Eukaryota; Metazoa; Chordata; Mammalia; Primates; Hominidae
Description: HSALNT0398168
Source: RNAcentral